AUAGUAGCGACCCUAGUGGAAUUUGGGGUAGCGUUGAUGGCGUGCUGACGGCUGUUAGCACGCCAUUUUGUGAACCGCAAGCGUAUGGAUCAUCGUAGCUUUUCCUUUAGAGUAUUCCAUCCAAGGUUUAUCAAUCUAUGGAUCGAUAACGAAUUGACUAGGGUUUUCUACCUAGCUCAACGGAUCUAAUCCUAACAUGAAGCAUAGAUUGCAUAUGAGAGAAAACUUAUGUAAAGAUUAAUAGCAUGAGUAAAAGUAGAUCUCAUUCACACACACACACACAUAUAUGAUAAUACCACCAAGGGUAGCAAGAGCCUAUCGUCUUCUAGUUGUAGUUCUAG
Molecule: long non-coding RNA, 341 nt
Filed under: Setaria italica (foxtail millet)
Lineage: Eukaryota; Viridiplantae; Streptophyta; Magnoliopsida; Poales; Poaceae
Description: long non-coding RNA (SITA_LNC002133)
Source: RNAcentral